AGAGUUUGAUCCUGGCUCAGGAUGAACGCUAGCUACAGGCUUAACACAUGCAAGUCGAGGGGAAACGACAUCGAAAGCUUGCUUUUGAUGGGCGUCGACCGGCGCACGGGUGAGUAACGCGUAUCCAACCUGCCCAUCACUUGGGGAUAACCUUGCGAAAGUAAGACUAAUACCCAAUGACGUCUCUAGAAGACAUCUGAAAGAGAUUAAAGAUUUAUCGGUGAUGGAUGGGGAUGCGUCUGAUUAGCUUGGUUGGCGGGGUAACGGCCCACCAAGGCGACGAUCAGGUAGGGGUUCUGGAGAGGAACGGUCCCCCANAUUGGAACUGAGACACGGUCCAAACUCCGUACGGGAGGCA
This 358-nucleotide ribosomal RNA is filed under the name uncultured bacterium. RNAcentral describes it as "bacterial SSU rRNA". It matches the Rfam family "Bacterial small subunit ribosomal RNA", at positions 8 to 350 of the family's 1533-position model. The record is from RNAcentral.